Molecule: ribosomal RNA, 252 nt
Filed under: uncultured bacterium
Lineage: Bacteria
Description: partial 16S ribosomal RNA
Rfam family: Bacterial small subunit ribosomal RNA
Source: RNAcentral
UACGUAGGUCCCGAGCGUUGUCCGGGUUUAUUGGGCGUAAAGCGAGCGCAGGCGGUUGGAUAAGUCUGAAGUUAAAGGCUGUGGCUCAACCAUAGUAUGCUUUGGAAACUGUUCAACUUGAGUGCAGAAGGGGAGAGUGGAAUUCCAUGUGUAGCGGUGGAAUGCGUAGAUAUAUGGAGGAACACCGGUGGCGAAAGCGGCUCUCUGGUCUGUAACUGACGCUGAGGCUCGAAAGCGUGGGUAGCGAACAGG